Molecule: ribosomal RNA, 468 nt
Filed under: uncultured bacterium
Lineage: Bacteria
Description: partial 16S ribosomal RNA
Rfam family: Bacterial small subunit ribosomal RNA
Source: RNAcentral
GACGAACGCUGGCGGCGUGCUUAACACAUGCAAGUCGAACGGAAAGGCCCUGCUUUUGUGGGGUGCUCGAGUGGCGAACGGGUGAGUAACACGUGAGUAACCUGCCCUUGACUUUGGGAUAACUUCAGGAAACUGGGGCUAAUACCGGAUAGGAGCUCCUGCUGCAUGGUGGGGGUUGGAAAGUUUCGGCGGUUGGGGAUGGACUCGCGGCUUAUCCGCUUGAUGGUGGGGUAGUGGCUGACCAAGGCUUUGACGGGUAGCCGGCCUGGGAGGGUGACCGGCCACAUUGGGACUGCGGGACGGCCCAGACUCCUACCGGAGGCAGCGGUGGGGAAUAUUGCACAGUGGGCGGAAGCCUGAUGCAGCGACGCCGCGUGCGUGAUGACGGCCUUCGGGUUGUGAACCGCUUUCGCCUGUGACGAAGCGUGAGUGACGGUACUGGGUAAAAAAGCACCGGCUAACUACGUG